UGAGUACGAGAUGCUACGGCAUCGAAGCAGUCUAUGUCAUACUUCCAAGAAAAGCUUGCAAUGUCAUAAACAAAUAAUGCCUGUACCAUAACCGACACAGGUGGGUAGGUAGAGUAUACUAAGGGGCGCGAGAUAACUCUCUCUAAGGAACUCGGCAAAAUGACUCCGUAACUUCGGGAGAAGGAGUGCCUUAUUUUUAUAAGGUUGCAAUAACAAGAUCCAAGCAACUGUUUACCAAAAACACAGGUCUCCGCUAAGUCGUAAGACGAUGUAUGGGGGCUGACGCCUGCCCAGUGCCAGAAGGUUAAAGAAGUUGGUUAGCAUUAGCGAAGCUGAUAACUGAAGCCCUGGUGAACGGCGGCCGUAACUAUAACGGUCCUAAGGUAGCGAAAUUCCUUGUCGGGUAAGUUCCGACCCGCACGAAAGGCGUAAUGAUUUGGAUACUGUCUCGGAGAGGGGCUCGGUGAAAUAGACUUGUCUGUGAAGAUGCGGACUACCUGCACCUGGACAGAAAGACCCUAUGAAGCUUUACUGUAACUUGAGAUUGAAAUUGGACUUUAUCUGCGCAGUAUAGGUGGGAGACGUUGAAAAUAUUCUUGCGGGAAUAUUGGAGUCAUCAGUGAGAUACCACUCUUAUAAUGUUAGAUUUCUAACUUUGUAUCAUUAUCUGGUCAAAGAACAGUUUCAGGCGGGCAGUUUGACUGGGGCGGUCGCCUCCCAAACGGUAACGGAGGCGCACAAAGGUUUCCUCUGAACGUGUAGAAAUCGUAUCUAGAGUGUAAAGGCAUAAGGAAGCUUGACUGUGAGACCUACAAGUCGAGCAGGGACGAAAGUCGGUCUUAGUGAUCUGACGGUGCUGAGUGGAAAGGCCGUCACUCAACGGAUAAAAGUUACUCUAAGGAUAACAGGCUGAUCUCCCCCAAGAGUUCACAUCGACGGGGAGGUUUGGCACCUCGAUGUCGGCUCAUCGCAUCCUGGGGCGGUAGUACGUCCCAAGGGUUGGGCUGUUCGCCCAUGAAAGCGGUACGCGAGCUGGGUUCAGAACGUCGUGAGACAGUUCGGUCCAUAUCCGGUGUAGGCGUUAGAAUAUUGAGAGGAGCCUUCUUUAGUACGAGAGGACCGAGAAGGACAUACCUCUGGUGUACCAGUUAUCGUGCCAACGGUAAACGCUGGGUAGCCAUGUAUGGAGAGGAUAACCGCUGAAAGCAUCUAAGUGGGAAGCCCACCUCAAGAUAAGUAUUCUCAU
This 1246-nucleotide ribosomal RNA is filed under the name metagenome. Its description in RNAcentral is "bacterial LSU rRNA". It matches the Rfam family "Bacterial large subunit ribosomal RNA", at positions 1564 to 2817 of the family's 2925-position model. The record is from RNAcentral.